Molecule: ribosomal RNA, 665 nt
Filed under: Zygosaccharomyces mellis
Lineage: Eukaryota; Fungi; Ascomycota; Saccharomycetes; Saccharomycetales; Saccharomycetaceae
Description: SSU rRNA
Rfam family: Eukaryotic small subunit ribosomal RNA
Source: RNAcentral
AGCAGGCGCGCAAAUUACCCAAUCCUGACACAGGGAGGUAGUGACAAUAAAUAACGAUACAGGGCCCUUACGGGUCUUGUAAUUGGAAUGAGUACAAUGUAAACACCUUAACGAGGAACAAUUGGAGGGCAAGUCUGGUGCCAGCAGCCGCGGUAAUUCCAGCUCCAAUAGCGUAUAUUAAAGUUGUUGCAGUUAAAAAGCUCGUAGUUGAACUUUGGGCCUGGUCGGCCGGUCCGGAUUUUUCCGCGUACUGGUUUUCUUCCGACCGGGCCUCUCCUUCUGGCUAGCCCUGGGUCCCUGUGGCCCUUGGUGAACCAGGACUUUUACUUUGAAAAAAUUAGAGUGUUCAAAGCAGGCGUAUUGCUCGAAUAUAUUAGCAUGGAAUAAUAGAAUAGGACGUUUGGUUCUAUUUUGUUGGUUUCUAGGACCAUCGUAAUGAUUAAUAGGGACGGUCGGGGGCAUCAGUAUUCAGUUGUCAGAGGUGAAAUUCUUGGAUUUACUGAAGACUAACUACUGCGAAAGCAUUUGCCAAGGACGUUUUCAUUAAUCAAGAACGAAAGUUAGGGGAUCGAAGAUGAUCAGAUACCGUCGUAGUCUUAACCAUAAACUAUGCCGACUAGGGAUCGGGUGGUGUUUAUUUACUGACCCACUCGGCACCUUACGAG